ACGGGUGAGUAACGCGUGGGAAUCUACCCUGAACUGCGGAAUAGCUCCGGGAAACUGGAAUUAAUACCGCAUGUGCCCUGAGGGGCAAAGAUUUAUCGGUUCAGGAUGAGCCCGCGUCCGAUUAGCUAGUUGGUGGGGUAAAGGCCUACCAAGGCGACGAUCGGUAGCUGGUCUAAGAGGAUGAUCAGCCACAUUGGGACUGAGACACGGCCCAAACUCCUACGGGAGGCAGCAGUGGGGAAUAUUGGACAAUGGGCGCAAGCCUGAUCCAGCCAUGCCGCGUGAGUGAUGAAGGCCCUAGGGUUGUAAAGCUCUUUCAGUGGGGACGAUAAUGACGGUACCCACAGAAGAAGCCCCGGCUAACUUCGUGCCAGCAGCCGCGGUAAUACGAAGGGGGCUAGCGUUGUUCGGAAUUACUGGGCGUAAAGCGCACGUAGGCGGACAUUUAAGUCAGGGGUGAAAUCCCGGGGCUCAACCCCGGAACUGCCUUUGAUACUGGGUGUCUUGAGUCCGGAAGAGGUGAGUGGAAUUGCGAGUGUAGAGGUGAAAUUCGUAGA
This 557-nucleotide ribosomal RNA is filed under the name uncultured bacterium. RNAcentral describes it as "bacterial SSU rRNA". It matches the Rfam family "Bacterial small subunit ribosomal RNA", at positions 102 to 694 of the family's 1533-position model. The record is from RNAcentral.